CCCGAUCCUCGGACGCGCGCACAUCCUUCUACUUGGUCGAUUUUAUAAUGCGAUAUCCCAGGACUAUGUAUCGCCGACCCUUUAUUUUUAUUAAGCACAUGCGGAAGCAGUUAUAAAUCCCCAGACAAUAAAACAAUGGGAUAGGAAAGCAGGCCAUAUUUUUCAUAUUGAAAUUCACAACCACACUUUCAUUAACAGCACCACUCAUAGUAUAUUUACAAUACUAUUUACAGCAUAAAAGUCUCACACCUAUCUAUACCAAGACAGGGUUCACAAAAGGGAUGGGAUCUCAAUCCACAUCCGGGUUAUAUUCAAGAUCCCUCUCUGGAUCUUCUUCUCCUUCAAAAGUCUUUCUCCCCUUGAGGUUCCUCUUCCUUAGCUUCUCCUCAGGGUCCUGAAAUGGUUAUUCAAUAACCAAUGAGACCACGUCUCAGCGAGUUCUACCCCCUAAGACCCGAUUAGUAAGAAAAUACGCCUUGAGGGCUGCCUAAGCACAUCAUGGGUUAGAGGACUUACCUUGGCCUCAGUUUCCUUCCUGCAAGUCAGUUCAAAUAAUAAAUACUGCCAAUCAUAGCAUCCAAUCAAUCAGAUCGACUUAACGAUCAAUCGACUCAGUCGAUUACAUGUCAUCAAAAUAUCACAUAGUCAUCCCGACUCUUCAUUCUUGACUCUGAAUCACGACCCUAUAGGCAUAAUUUAUUUUUAGUGGAAUCACGGCCCCACUCGGCAAAUUUUCUAGACUUGGUGGCAUCACGGCCCCACCUGGCAAUUUUCUCAACUUGGUGGCAUCACAGCCCCACCUGGCAAUUUUCUCAACUUGGUGGCAUCACGGCCCCACCUGGCAAUUUUCUCAACUUAGUGGCAUCACGGCCCUACCUGGCAAAUGUUCUUAACUUGGUGGCAUCACGGCCCCACCUGGCAAAUGUGCUUAACUUGGUGGCAUCACGGCCCCACCUGGCAAUAAUUAAUCCAACUCACAACCUCACACAGUUACUUUCCCUUCAAGUACCGACAUUUUCUAAUUUUGGGACAAAUUCUCAUAUUCACCAAUUUCACUGAAAUUUCACAAUCUGAUCCUCGAAUAAAUAAACAGAGAGCACCAUUGGAAUCAGCACAAAAUUUCGGUCGUCGGCUAUCCCAGCCUAAUUUC
Molecule: long non-coding RNA, 1150 nt
Filed under: Eucalyptus grandis
Lineage: Eukaryota; Viridiplantae; Streptophyta; Magnoliopsida; Myrtales; Myrtaceae
Description: long non-coding RNA (EGRA_LNC007657)
Source: RNAcentral